Molecule: ribosomal RNA, 253 nt
Filed under: uncultured bacterium
Lineage: Bacteria
Description: partial 16S ribosomal RNA
Rfam family: Bacterial small subunit ribosomal RNA
Source: RNAcentral
GACGAACCGUGCGAACGUUAUUCGGAAUCACUGGGCUUAAAGCGCGUGUAGGCGGACCGACGCGUCGGCGUUGAAAUCCCCCGGCUCAACCGGGGAAGUGGCGUCGAUACGGUCGGUCUCGAGGGGCGAAGGGGGACCUGGAACUUCCGGUGGAGCGGUGAAAUGCGUUGAGAUCGGAAGGAACGCCCGUGGCGAAAGCGAGGUCCUGGGCGCCUGCUGACGCUGAGACGCGAAAGCCAGGGGAGCGAACGGG